UGAACGCGAAGAACCUUACCAGCUCUUGACAUCCCUCUGACCGGUCUAGAGAUAGGCCUUUCCUUCGGGACAGAGGAGACAGGUUGUGCAUGGUUGUCGUCAGCUCGUGUCGUGAGAUGUUGGGUUAAGUCCCGCAACGAGCGCAACCCUUGAUCUUAGUUGCCAGCACUUCGGGUGGGCACUCUAAGGUGACUGCCGGUGACAAACCGGAGGAAGGUGGGGAUGACGUCAAAUCAUCAUGCCCCUUAUGAGCUGGGCUACACACGUACUACAAUGGCCGGUACAACGGGAAGGGAAACCGCGAGGUGGAGCCAAUCCUAUCAAAGCCGGUCUCAGUUCUGGAUUGCAGGCUGCAACUCGCCUGCAUGAAGUCGGAAUUGCUAGUAAUCGCGGAUCACAUGCCGCGGUGAAUACGUUCCCGGGUCUUGUACACACGCA
This 438-nucleotide ribosomal RNA is filed under the name bacterium CPTAC121. RNAcentral's name for it is "bacterial SSU rRNA". It matches the Rfam family "Bacterial small subunit ribosomal RNA", at positions 956 to 1394 of the family's 1533-position model. The record is from RNAcentral.